CCCACAGCCUGGAUGCCAACAACCUCAUCGUCAUCAGAGUCACCUCUGCUGUUUAUCACACAAAAGACACUGAGAUGACAAACCGCUGGAGAAUCACGGACUCCAGCUCAGAGGGCAGAGUUAUCAUGUCGGUGCUCUGCCAGUUUCUAAAGAGGUUUGCACAGAGCAUGAAGAGAAAGGCUACAGAGGAAGAGAGCAGCAGCAGGAGCCCCACUCCACCAAAGAAACACUUCAGACUGUGAAGCCUUUCUCAGAGAACUUAUUUUCUGAAGACUCUUUAAUAGUUUUAAGACUUUGGCACUGCUUCUGUGAACUGUGUUGGACAUAUGGCAGGGCUGUGGACUGGAUCAUGAACGAGGAACAUCUAUUGUAGAGCCAAGUGUAAAUCUGUGCAACACGAACUAAGGAUCCAUAAAGACAGUGCCAAGUGUACAUUAUCCUCUGCUGCAUCUCAGACAUCAGCAAGAACCAACACAGUGAAUCUGAUGAAAAGGAGAAACAAAAAGAGACACACCACAAACGAGUUUCCCUUACUAACAUGAGUGGAGCAGUAACUGCAUACGGAGUAAGAAACAGGAGCAUCCAAAGACAACUGAGAGUCUUUAGUGCACCGUGAACAGCAGUCACCUCAGAGCAAGAGAGUCCUCGUGGCUGUCUGGGUUCUCUCCAGGAGCUC
Pelmatolapia mariae (spotted tilapia) is the source of this 676-nucleotide long non-coding RNA. RefSeq lists it as uncharacterized. The transcript is spliced from 3 exons. Lineage: Eukaryota; Metazoa; Chordata; Actinopteri; Cichliformes; Cichlidae. The record is from RefSeq and is a predicted model, not a curated record.